ACACGUAGGGGGCGCGCGUUGUCCGGAAUGAUUGGGCGUAAAGGGCGCGUAGGCGGCGCGGUAAGUCUGGAGUGAAAGUCCUGCUUUCAAGGUGGGAAUUGCUUUGGAUACUGCCGCGCUUGAGUGCAGGAGAGGUUAUCGGAAUUCCCGGUGUAGCGGUGAAAUGCGUAGAGAUCGGGAGGAACACCAGUGGCGAAGGCGGGUAACUGGACUGCAACUGACGCUGAGGCGCGAAAGUGUGGGGAGCAAACAGGAUUAGAUACCCUGGUAGUCCACACUGUAAACGAUGAAUGCUAGGUGUAAGAGGUAUCGACCCCUUUUGUGCCGGAGUCAACACAAUAAGCAUUCCGCCUGGGGAGUACGGCCGCAAGGUUGAAACUCAAAUGAAUUGACGGGG
This 397-nucleotide ribosomal RNA is filed under the name uncultured bacterium. RNAcentral describes it as "partial 16S ribosomal RNA". It matches the Rfam family "Bacterial small subunit ribosomal RNA", at positions 523 to 918 of the family's 1533-position model. The record is from RNAcentral.